UUGAGAGUUACAUAUGCGGCUCGCAUUCCCCCGCCUAGAGAAAACAAAGAGGUGUUGGGCUUACAGUAAAUUUGGAAAGACACACCAUCAAAGUUAGCUAAUAAGGCAAGACAAUAUGUGACUUAUCUGACUAACGCCAAACAGUAACUACUGUAGAGGGCCCGAGGAGGGAAGAAGGGGACACCCACAGGCCGGCCAAACUGGAGAAGGCGAGCCAGAAGUCGUGAGUUUUGAGCGAAGGCGCCGCAGGGCGCGCUGCGCACGCCCCACCCUGCGCUCCGCCCGUUUGACCCCGCCGCCGCGCCGUAGGUCAGGCUGCACGCCGCCGGCUGCCAUGGCGAACGUGUCCGAGCGGACGCUGCAGCUGUCUGUGCUGGUGGCCUUCGCGUCUGGAGUGCUCGUGGGCUGGCAGGCGAACCGGCUGCGGAGGCGCUACCUGGACUGGAAGAAGCGGAGGCUGCAGGACAAGCUGGCGGUGACUCAGAAGAAGCUGGACUUGGCCUGAGACCCCGCGCGCGCCCGCGCGCCCACCUCGCCUUGCGCUGGCGGGGCCUCCGGCGGGGCUCCGACACGUGACCCACGGUCUCCGUACACACUCUGCAGCGCCUUGCUCUUGAUGGAGUCGUUUGUCGAAGAUGGAUACAGAACACUGGACAGAUCUAAUUUCUCCUUGCACUUUAUGAGUCAAUUUUUUUUCAAAAUAAAAAAAUUCUUAAACCUCUUUGAAUCUUUUAUCACAAGGAAAAGGAGUAUCUUGCCUGGCAAGCAGUUCACUGCAUCAAAAGAUCGGGAUUCUCAAAACUCAUCUGUUAGUGUUUUGAGCAGAUAAUCUUUUUUAAGGAAUAUAUGGCAAUUCCUUGGUACAACUGCAAAGGAGAGUUGGCCCAGGGACCAUUAGGAGUCCUUUUGCCCAACUUUGUGCAGUAAAGCAAGGGACUGUGUAAACAUAACCGAGUUAAGGAUGAUGUAUGUAAGACUUUUGCACUUAUGAGAGUGACAACAUACUCCAAUUUUUAUUGGUAAACACUUCAUUUAUGUGUUACUAUGUUAUAUACAUUAAAGGAAAACCCCUCUUGACUAGAGCUUAGUGAUAAA
Molecule: long non-coding RNA, 1095 nt
Filed under: Lynx canadensis (Canada lynx)
Lineage: Eukaryota; Metazoa; Chordata; Mammalia; Carnivora; Felidae
Description: lncRNA (ENSLCNG00005015767.1)
Source: RNAcentral